UGUCCGUCCUGUGUCCAUCUGUCCGUGUGUCCGUGCCGAGCGUCUGUCUGUCCCGUGUCCAUCUGUCCGUGUGUCUGUGUCCAUCCCGUGUGUCCAUGCCGUGUGUCUGUGUGUCUGUCCUGUGUCCGUGCCGAGUGUCUGUCUGUCCCGUGUGUCCGUCCCGUGUGUCCGUGUGUCCGUCCCGUGUCCAUCUGUCCGUCUGUCUGUCCCUCAUUUCCAGAAGAGCACGUUCCAGAGCAGCAGCCAGCAGGGGUAGGCCCCCAGGGUGAGGAGGGGGCUCAGGUGGGCUCCGUGCAGGUGCUCCUGGAGCAGCCCCUGGCCCAGAGCCCCCAGGAAUCGCUGCCAGGCCUCGCCCAGACCCGCCGGGGCCUCCAGCAGCUCCCGCUCCAGCAGCACCGCCAGGAACAGCGAGACCCCCGGGGACGUCAGCAACAGCAGCACCGCCAGGGGGAACCUGGGGUGGGGAGGGGGUGUCAGAGACCCCCAGGUGUCCCCAGGUGUGUCUGUCACCUGCCCCGGGUGUGGCCCCAGGUGUGUCUCACCUGUCCCCAGGUGUGUCU
Molecule: long non-coding RNA, 560 nt
Filed under: Cyanistes caeruleus (blue tit)
Lineage: Eukaryota; Metazoa; Chordata; Aves; Passeriformes; Paridae
Description: lncRNA (ENSCCEG00000007260.1)
Source: RNAcentral